GACGAACGCUGGCGGCGUGCUUAACACAUGCAAGUCGAACGGAAAGGCCCUGCUUUUGUGUGGUGCUCGAGUGGCGAACGGGUGAGUAACACGUGAGUAACCUGCCCUUGACUUUGGGAUAACUUCAGGAAACUGGGGCUAAUACCGGAUAGGAGCUCCUGCUGCAUGGUGGGGGUUGGAAAGUUUCGGCGGUUGGGGAUGGACUCGCGGCUUAUCAGCUUGUUGGUGGGGUAGUGGCUUACCAAGGCUUUGACGGGUAGCCGGCCUGAGAGGGUGACCGGCGACAUUGGGACUGAGAGACGGCCCAGACUCCUACGGGAGGCAGCAGUGGGGAAUAUUGCACAAUGGGCGGAAGCCUGAUGCAGCAACGCCGCGUGCGGGAUGACGGCCUUCGGGGUGUAAACCGCUUUCGCCUGUGACGAAGCGUGAGUGACGGUAAUGGGUAAAGAAGCACCGGCUAACUACGUG
RNAcentral lists this ribosomal RNA (468 nucleotides) under uncultured bacterium. Its description in RNAcentral is "partial 16S ribosomal RNA". It matches the Rfam family "Bacterial small subunit ribosomal RNA", at positions 28 to 507 of the family's 1533-position model. The record is from RNAcentral.